This 582-nucleotide ribosomal RNA is filed under the name Triticum aestivum (bread wheat). RNAcentral's name for it is "partial small subunit ribosomal RNA". Lineage: Eukaryota; Viridiplantae; Streptophyta; Magnoliopsida; Poales; Poaceae. The record is from RNAcentral.
AUGGUAGAGGGGUCCGCUCUAGAUAUUACUAACCUGAAGUUCCUCCCCCUGUGCUUCCAACAAAUGUCGGGUCUAACCAUCAACUUCGAUAAGAGCGAAGUGAUGGUUCUCGGAUACCCCUUGGAGGAAGCACAUGCUAUUGCUGACCGACUAAAUUGUCAGCUGGGUUCUUUCCCCACGACCUAUCUGGGGAUCCCCAUUAGUGAUUCACGCCUCACCGUAGCCGAUCUUCGUCCCACUGUGACCCGUGUGCAACAUCGCGUUGAGCCCUGGAAAGGGCGCUGGCUGUCGAAGGCUGCUCGCGUGAUCCUUAUCAAUUCCUUGCUUGCCAGCCUCCUUUGGUUCCUCAUGAGCUUCUAUAGCCUCCAUGAAACCCUUCAUCAGGAGAUCACUAAAUACCAAUCCAGAUUCUUCUAGGCUGGGGAGGGGGAUAAGCAGAAGUACCACAUGGUCAGCUGGCCAGAUAUCUGCAAACCCAAGGACCAGGGCGGUCUUGGGAUCUUGUCCUCCUGACGCAUGAACAUUGCCCUCCUGACCCCUUGGCUCUGGCGCAUUGCCAAUGGCGAUGGAGUUCUCUGGCUU